This 2467-nucleotide long non-coding RNA is filed under the name Triticum aestivum (bread wheat). RNAcentral's name for it is "long non-coding RNA (TAES_LNC017500)". Lineage: Eukaryota; Viridiplantae; Streptophyta; Magnoliopsida; Poales; Poaceae. The record is from RNAcentral.
AACGACCGGCGAGCAGCAACCCAUAGUGAUGGCCGGCUCCAUUCGACCAUGACGCGAGCAACGCCGGAGCUCCGGCCUGGCUGCUCCUUCCCCAUGCCCGUCCUACUCAUCCUCCCGUGCUUCUCCACACCAAGCAUGAAGACCACACCAGCAGGCUCUCUUAUGGCGACGACAUGCGCCCGAUACAGAAUCACAAUAUGUGGCGGCGCCGGAUCGAGAACGCGGGGAGACGCUGUCCUGUGGGGAAGAGAAAGAGGAUAACAUGGUAUAAAAUAAAGUAGUCAUUUUUCAUGUAGUGAAACUUUAGUUUUGGGCAAGAUGAUCAAAAAUAAAAAUAGAACUAAUGCAACAGGAGAACCACAUAUGGAGGCACUCAAGUGGACAGACACAACAGUUCAAACAAACCCAAAAAUAUCUCAUUGUUCACCUUAAACCUUCGGAGGUUUAAAGUGCUAGUUGAACUGAAAGGCACCGUUGCUAGGUGACAAAAAAAUCAGUACGCUCUGCAGUAAUUUGAUAUGAUAAAAACCAGUUGGAUAAAGACCAAAUAAAGUUAUUACCUAGCGAAGUUAGGGCUGCCAUAAAAAUCUGAACAGUUCCAUAAGUGGCCUCUUGAUAUUAUAUGAUUCAUAAAGGAACAUGACACAUGAUUGUGCAAAAAUGACUAUUGAUUCAGUGCCACACUACAGGAAAGGGGAUAUCAGUAGUCAUUAGAAUACACAGACUGAUAGAAAUUAUGCACCUGAUAUUACUUGCUACUUCUCUCAUCUAGCUGCAGCUGGUUUAGCAAAGAGAACCCAAUACCCAAAAUCAUGAAAUGGAUGUUCUCUUGGUUAGUAUACAAGACUGCUUAUUAUCUCUGUUGCCACACCACAGAGCAACCAAGCAAAGGGCCAUGGAGCACCUCACAACAAAAGGAACCUGAAACCUACAAACAGAGGAAUGAUUUUUCUUGUAACAUGAACCAUCAAAUUAACUACACUCGGCUGCACAGCAUGCGAUCGCCACCAUAGAAAGGCUACCCUACUACUUAACUCUCUCCAUAAACUACAAAAAAGCAAGAAAAUCAACCCAAACAACAUUGUAGGAACGAUAUAGACAAGACAAAAGAAUCUCAACUUGUUUGCUCUUUUUUAGUUGAGUAACUCCUUCUAGAGUAAAUGGUCAAGCUGGCCGCAAGAAAGAAACACACAAAAAACCCGAGAAUAGUGCACCAACAAGAAGGAAAAAAAUCUACGUAUGGACAAACUGACCGGGUGUGUGCUUCAGGAACCGAAAGAUUUGGGGAGAGAGAGAAGCAUACCUAAUAGAACUUCACAGGCAUGUCAACCCCUUGUUUAUUCUCCAAUUUCAGCCCUAGCAUUGAAGGAAGCCCAACCCUCUCAUGAACAGACUUUAGAGUGAAGCUCAUUGAUGAUGGCACUGUUAGCAGUCAGAAACUGUAUAAGCGAGGCCAUUCCACCUUCUUGGCCCUCUUAAAUAGCUUGUACAUACCUGUUUUAGAGUCAAGAGAAAAAAAUGAUAUCAACUAAGCAUAUCUAAAAUCCAUCAUAAUACAUACAAAGAAUGUGUUACAUCUGAAAUAAAAUGGAACAUGCAAAUUAGAUAGUUACUUAUAAGUGAAAUACCAUUUUAGGUGUGUUUUCACCAAAGAGAUACAGUGAACAGUGAGCAUUGUCCCAGUACACAUUUAUAGGAAUGAAACACACAUAGUUCAGCUGCUAUAUAGGGUAAUAUCUUUAUCUUACUGCUAUUUGGAUCUUUACUAAGUUGAUUAAUUUGCAUCUGUUACAAAGCAUAAGCCUCGACACAGCUCCAUAUAUGCUAUCAGAAAUGGCCUGACAAACAGUAGUUUUGUCGACAACAAAGAUUUGAACUAUUGAUUGCACAGUUCCUAGUAGAGUUUAUGCUACCUUAAAUCCCAGAAUUUUAGGCCAUCCUCUCCAGUAGUGACAAGGGUGUUUGUGUUUUCCUCACUGUCAAAAUGAUAUGGGUCAGACUCAGUGUUUACCCUUUGGAAGGGAAUAGAAGUAUAACACAACUUAGUACCUUACAUAUAUAUCGUGCCCACGAGAGGGCUCUGGUGGGAACAGAUUCAACAGUACCUUAACCAGAAAAGCUAGUUAAUAUAACACACAAACAAAAAAAAGAGAUAUGCAGUACAGGAAAUCCAAUUGUUUGCUCUUUAGCAUGUGAAAGUAAGCAGUUCCUGAGUCAGACAUGUCAUCUGAAUGGCAUAAGUGAUAGAAAACUAUGGAAAGGGAGAUAACAAACCAUUAAAAUGUCUUCUGACGGCAAGUUUGUGGAGACCUCCAUAAAGCAACCUGGAAACAUCAAAAUCCAACCAUGAACUCAGUAUGGCACGUUCUAACAAAACUGGGCAGUCAUCGGAUUUAAACUAAGAAAAUAAUUUUGUACAUGCAAAAAAGAUACCGUUCCAUCAUGACAUCCUUCCAGUAUCAUAUCA